Tachyglossus aculeatus (Australian echidna) is the source of this 138-nucleotide small nucleolar RNA. The record is from RefSeq and is a predicted model, not a curated record. NCBI's taxonomy places the organism in Eukaryota, Metazoa, Chordata, Mammalia, Monotremata, Tachyglossidae.
CCCCUCUCAGGGUCACACCUGGGGAGUUUCCAGUACUCUACCAGUCUUGGCUAUGGGAGGGAGAGUCAAGCAGAGGUCUACCCAUUCCAUUCCUGGCUUGGACAAUGGCUAGCAAGCGGCAGGCAAUCUGCUACAAGU